Long non-coding RNA from Raphanus sativus (radish), 651 nucleotides. RefSeq lists it as uncharacterized. The record is from RefSeq and is a predicted model, not a curated record. The transcript has 2 exons. Lineage: Eukaryota; Viridiplantae; Streptophyta; Magnoliopsida; Brassicales; Brassicaceae.
GCACCCUUGGAUGAUAUUGAAUCAUCGUUUCAGAUUAAUUGUUCUUUUAUUAUUUUUUUAUUGUUUUGGUGAGAUCUACGACACAGAGAACAAAAGCGAGAGAGAGGAGAUGGAGUUCGUAGAGGAGAAGAAGAGUAAAAGGAGACCACUACAAUCUCAUCUUCUCCAUCUCUUAAAAUCCUCUGCAGAAAACUCCUUUUCUCAAUCCAUCUAUCCUCAUCAUCAUUGUCUCUCAGUCCCCAUCUCACCUUACUCUCAAACCACCGCUACAAUCCCUCUCGCCGCUUCUCUCUCCGUGCCCAGAACGAAAACGUAGCAGACUAAAGGGGGAAGUCUCAGCCUUUCUUUGCCAUGGACCUCCCCUUAAUCUGAACAGGCUGCCAAGUCCCAAGCCGAGGAAGCUCAAGCCAUGGAAGAAAGCUAGUCGGAGAUGGCAGAGAUCGCAGAGAAAGCUGGCGGCAGUGGUGGUGUAGGUGAAGCCGAACAAGAAGAAGAAGAGAAGAAAGAGACCUAGAAAUUUUAUUAGGUUUUGUUAAAUUUUUUGGUUUAUUAAGGUUGGUUAAUUAGGUUUUGGUUCUUUUUUUUGGUUUGAUGUAUAAACUGAUUUUAUUGUAAAGAAAUUUAAAUUAAUGAAUAAAUUUUAAAUUUAAA